AGUGGUAUACCUGGGUCAAAUGGUAGUUCCAUUCUAAAUUUUCUGAGGAAUCUCCAUACUUCUUUCCAUAAUGGUUGCACAAAUUUGCAUUCCCACCAGCAAU
Molecule: microRNA precursor, 103 nt
Filed under: Marmota monax (woodchuck)
Lineage: Eukaryota; Metazoa; Chordata; Mammalia; Rodentia; Sciuridae
Source: RNAcentral